CCUACGGGUGGCAGCAGUGAGGAAUAUUGGUCAAUGGACGCAAGUCUGAACCAGCCAUGCCGCGUGCAGGAAGACGGCUCUAUGAGUUGUAAACUGCUUUUGUACGAGGGUAAACGCAGAUACGCGUAUCUGUCUGAAAGUAUCGUACGAAUAAGGAUCGGCUAACUCCGUGCCAGCCGCCGCGGUAAUACGGAGGAUUCAAGCGUUAUCCGGAUUUAUGGGGUUUAAAGGGUGCGUAGGCGGUCGGAUAAGUUAGAGGUGAAAUCCCGAGGCUCAACUUCGGAAUUGCCUCUGAUACUGUUCGGCUAGAGAGUAGUAGCGGUAGGCGGAAUGUAUGGUGUAGCGGUGAAAUGCUUAGAUAUCAUACAGAACACAGAUUGCGAAGGCAGCUUACCAAGCUACUUCUGACGUUGAGGCACGAAAGCGUGGGGAGCAAACAGGAGUAGAUACCCGGGUAGUC
Molecule: ribosomal RNA, 460 nt
Filed under: uncultured bacterium
Lineage: Bacteria
Description: partial 16S ribosomal RNA
Rfam family: Bacterial small subunit ribosomal RNA
Source: RNAcentral